GAUGAACGCUGGCGGCGUGCCUAACACAUGCAAGUCGAGCGAGCUCUUGAGGAGUGGAGACUUCGGUCAAAGCGAGUCAAAUGAACGCGGCGGACGGGUGAGUAACGCGUGAGCAAUCUGCCCCAUACAAAGGGAUACCCACUGGAAACGGUGAUUAAUACCUUAUAAUACCACAGAGUCGCCUGGCUCAGGGGUCAAAGAAUUAUCGGUAUGGGAUGAGCUCGCGUCUGAUUAGCUAGUUGGUAAGGUAAUGGCGUACCAAGGCGACGAUCAUCGGCCUACCUGGGAAGGGGAACGGCCACACUGGAACUGAGAGACGAGCCAUACUCCUACGGGAGGCAGCAGUGGUGAAUAGUUCACAAUGGGCGCAACCCGGAUGCUGCAACGCCGCGUGAAUGAUGAAGGCCUUCGGGGCGUAAAGUUCUGUCCAAAGGGAAGAAUAAAAUGACGGUACCUUUGGAGGAAGCCCCGGCUAACUACGUGCCAGCCGCCGCGGUAA
Molecule: ribosomal RNA, 499 nt
Filed under: uncultured bacterium
Lineage: Bacteria
Description: partial 16S ribosomal RNA
Rfam family: Bacterial small subunit ribosomal RNA
Source: RNAcentral